This 351-nucleotide unclassified non-coding RNA is filed under the name fungal sp. Its description in RNAcentral is "partial internal transcribed spacer region". The stretch from base 1 to 46 matches the Rfam family "Eukaryotic small subunit ribosomal RNA", at positions 1786 to 1831 of the family's 1831-position model. RNAcentral also lists the same sequence under 1 other name. Lineage: Eukaryota; Fungi. The record is from RNAcentral.
AAGUCGUAACAAGGUUUCCGUAGGUGAACCUGCGGAAGGAUCAUUAACACUUUAAUCCUUUAUAAACAACUGAGAACAUGUACCUCUACCUGAGAGUAAAAUACCGUCAGACGGAUAGUGUAUGGUGAAAGUAGUUAAUUUAUUAACUACUAGCUAUCCACUGACUAGAAGCUCUAGAAGCUUCAGGUUUUUAUUUCUUCAGGCUUUUUUUUGCCAUCACCAUGGUAUAUUACUACUAUUAACAACUAUAAUUCAAAAUGAACUAAUCUAUGCUUCACUAGUAUUUAUACUAGUAGAAUCAAGUUUAUACGAAACUAAGAACAACUCUUAGCAAUGGAUAUCUUGGUUCCC